RNAcentral lists this ribosomal RNA (253 nucleotides) under Mediterraneibacter faecis JCM 15917. Its description in RNAcentral is "[Ruminococcus] faecis JCM 15917 partial 16S ribosomal RNA". It matches the Rfam family "Bacterial small subunit ribosomal RNA", at positions 524 to 776 of the family's 1533-position model. The record is from RNAcentral. Lineage: Bacteria; Bacillati; Bacillota; Clostridia; Lachnospirales; Lachnospiraceae.
UACGUAUGGUGCAAGCGUUAUCCGGAUUUACUGGGUGUAAAGGGAGCGUAGACGGAGUGGCAAGUCUGAUGUGAAAAUCCGGGGCUCAACCCCGGGACUGCAUUGGAAACUGUCAAUCUAGAGUACCGGAGAGGUAAGCGGAAUUCCUAGUGUAGCGGUGAAAUGCGUAGAUAUUAGGAGGAACACCAGCGGCGAAGGCGGCUUACUGGACGGUAACUGACGUUGAGGCUCGAAAGCGUGGGGAGCAAACAGG